This 488-nucleotide ribosomal RNA is filed under the name uncultured bacterium. RNAcentral's name for it is "partial 16S ribosomal RNA". It matches the Rfam family "Bacterial small subunit ribosomal RNA", at positions 29 to 523 of the family's 1533-position model. The record is from RNAcentral.
AACGAACGCUGGCGGCGUGGAUAAGACAUGCAAGUCGAACGGAAUUCAGUUUGUAGCAAUACACGCUGGGUUUAGUGGCAAACGGGUGCGUAACACGUGAGCAAUCUGCCGGGAAGUGGGGGAUAGCUCGCCGAAAGGCGAAUUAAUACCGCAUGUGGCCGGGGGUGACAUCACUCCCAAGCCAAAGUCGCAAGACGCCUCCUGAUGAGCUCGCGGCCUAUCAGCUAGUUGGUGAGGUAACGGCUCACCAAGGCUAUGACGGGUAGCUGGUCUGAGAGGACGACCAGCCACACUGGAACUGAGACACGGUCCAGACACCUACGGGUGGCAGCAGUCGAGAAUUUUUCACAAUGGGGGCAACCCUGAUGGAGCGACGCCGCGUGGAGGACGAAGGUCUUCGGAUUGUAAACUCCUGUCAUGCGGGAACAAGAAAGUGAUAGUACCGCAAGAGGAAGAGACGGCUAACUCUGUGCCAGCCGCCGCAGUAA